Molecule: ribosomal RNA, 439 nt
Filed under: uncultured bacterium
Lineage: Bacteria
Description: partial 16S ribosomal RNA
Rfam family: Bacterial small subunit ribosomal RNA
Source: RNAcentral
CGGGGGGCAGCAGCAGUGAGGAAUAUUGCACAAUGGGGGGAACCCUGAUGCAGCAACGCCGCGUGGAGGAUGACGCAUUUCGGUGUGUAAACUCCUUUUAUAUGUCAAGAAAAUGACGGUAGCAUAUGAAUAAGCACCGGCUAACUCCGUGCCAGCAGCCGCGGUAAUACGGAGGGUGCAAGCGUUACUCGGAAUCACUGGGCGUAAAGGACGCGUAGGCGGGUUGGAAAGUCAGGUGUGAAAUCCUACAGCUUAACUGUAGAACUGCACUUGAAACUUCUAAUCUAGAGUAUGGGAGGGGGAGAUGGAAUUAGUGGUGUAGGGGUAAAAUCCGUAGAUAUCACUAGGAAUACCUAAAGCGAAGGCGAUCUCCUGGAACAUUACUGACGCUAAGGCGUGAAAGCGUGGGGAGCAAACAGGAUUAGAUACCCGCGUAGUC